Molecule: transfer RNA, 63 nt
Filed under: Cicadetta abscondita
Lineage: Eukaryota; Metazoa; Arthropoda; Insecta; Hemiptera; Cicadidae
Description: tRNA-His
Source: RNAcentral
AUUCAAUUAGUUUAAUAAAAAUAUUAAAUUGUGAUUUUAAAGAUAAAGAAAAUUUAUUGGAUA